GAGUUUCUCUCAGUGUUGCUGUUUUGAGCUGUUGGUUUUACUGUAGGAGCUCGACAUGACUGGCUUCUCCAGUCUGAGUUCAACCAUUGUCAUCGGAGGAGCUCAGGAUCUUGUUGGUGAGAGAAGCUGUGGUUCAGUUUGGGGAGGCUGGUCCAUACAUGGAGCAUCACUUCCUGGCUCUGGAAGGGAAGAUGGAGAAACUUUUCAUGCUGGCUUUCUGAUUUCAGGUCAGAUCAUAAUUGUGUUACCUGGAGACCUACACAACUGAUUAUUUUCUUAUCGCCACCAUAAACUGCAGCCCUGCCAUGCCACCCUGCCUUGGAGCCAACUAAAUACAGACUAAUACUUCAAAAACUAUAAGAAAAAACCUUUCCUUUCCCAACUUUGGCAUGAGAUAUUUUUGUUUCAGCGAUGAGUAAAAAAUAACUAAGACAGACAGUA
This is a long non-coding RNA of Cavia porcellus (domestic guinea pig), 441 nucleotides long. RefSeq lists it as uncharacterized. The record is from RefSeq and is a predicted model, not a curated record. Lineage: Eukaryota; Metazoa; Chordata; Mammalia; Rodentia; Caviidae. The transcript has 3 exons.